GACAGAGUGCAGCCUUUUCCUCCCCUAAUAGAAAAGCCAUUGCCCUCUUUUCCUCCACCCUUAAGAAGACCUGCAUCUGUUGGACCAACAGACAACUAUCCGGCUUACGGCCAGGGGAGCCCCUGCAGCUGCACAGAACCAGUUUCUUAUGUAUCUGGCGGUAACUGGGGAAGCUUCUGAGAAAGUCCAUGGGGCCGAUGUAUGGGAGAUGAAUGUGGUCCAGGAGGCAUCCAAACGAGGGCUGUGUGGUGUGCUCAUGUGGAGGGAUGGACUACACUGCAUACUAACUGUAAGCAGGCCGAGAGACCCAAUAACCAGCAGAAUUGUUUCAAAGUUUGCGAUUGGCACAAAGAGUUGUACGACUGGAGACUGGGACCUUGGAAUCAGUGUCAGCCUGUGAUUUCAAAAAGCCUCGAGAAACCUCUUGAGUGCAUUAAGGGGGAAGAAGGUAUUCAGGUGAGGGAGAUAGCGUGCAUCCAGAAAGACAAAGACAUUCCUGCGGAGGAUAUCAUCUGUGAGUACUUUGAGCCCAAG
Molecule: small RNA, 534 nt
Filed under: Pan troglodytes (chimpanzee)
Lineage: Eukaryota; Metazoa; Chordata; Mammalia; Primates; Hominidae
Description: processed transcript
Source: RNAcentral